Molecule: non-coding RNA, 20 nt
Filed under: Treponema denticola
Lineage: Bacteria; Pseudomonadati; Spirochaetota; Spirochaetia; Treponematales; Treponemataceae
Also listed under: 10 other names
Source: RNAcentral
GCGGCUGGAUCACCUCCUUU